This 463-nucleotide ribosomal RNA is filed under the name uncultured bacterium. RNAcentral's name for it is "partial 16S ribosomal RNA". It matches the Rfam family "Bacterial small subunit ribosomal RNA", at positions 28 to 507 of the family's 1533-position model. The record is from RNAcentral.
GACGAACGCUGGCGGCGUGCUUAACACAUGCAAGUCGAACGGAAAGGCCUUUUCGGAGGUACUCGAGUGGCGAACGGGUGAGUAACACGUGGGUGAUCUGCCCUGCACUCUGGGAUAAGCCUGGGAAACUGGGUCUAAUACCGGAUAGGACCGCACUUUAGUGUGUGUGGUGGAAAGUUUUUUCGGUGUAGGAUGAGCCCGCAGCCUAUCAGCUUGUUGGUGGGGUAAUGGCCUACCAAGGCGGCGACGGGUAGCCGGACUGAGAGGUUGGUCGGCCACAUUGGGACUGAGAUACGGCCCAGACUCCUACGGGAGGCAGCGGUGGGGAAUAUUGCACAAUGGGCGCAAGCCUGAUGCAGCGACGCCGCGUGGGGGAUGACGGCCUUCGGGUUGUAAACUCCUUUCGCCAGGGACGAAGCGUUUUGUGACGGUACCUGGAGAAGAAGCACCGGCUAACUACGUG